CCUACGGGGGGCAGCAGUGGGGAAUAUUGGACAAUGGGCGAAAGCCUGAUCCAGCCAUGCCGCGUGUGUGAAGAAGGCCUUCGGGUUGUAAAGCACUUUCAGUGGGGAAGAAAGCCUUGGGGCUAAUACCCUCGAGGAAGGACAUCACCCACAGAAGAAGCACCGGCUAACUCCGUGCCAGCAGCCGCGGUAAUACGGAGGGUGCGAGCGUUAAUCGGAAUUACUGGGCGUAAAGCGCGCGUAGGCGGUCUGAUAAGCCGGUUGUGAAAGCCCCGGGCUCAACCUGGGAACGGCAUCCGGAACUGUCAGGCUAGAGUGCAGGAGAGGAAGGUAGCAGUCCCGGUGUAGCGGUGAAAUGCGUAGAGAUCGGGAGGAAUACCAGUGGCGAAGGCGGCCUUCUGGACUGACACUGACGCUGAGGUGCGAAAGCGUGGGUAGCAAACAGGAUUAGAUACCCGGGUAGUC
Molecule: ribosomal RNA, 465 nt
Filed under: Vreelandella stevensii
Lineage: Bacteria; Pseudomonadati; Pseudomonadota; Gammaproteobacteria; Oceanospirillales; Halomonadaceae
Description: partial 16S ribosomal RNA
Rfam family: Bacterial small subunit ribosomal RNA
Source: RNAcentral